RNAcentral lists this ribosomal RNA (1271 nucleotides) under Chitoria ulupi (tawny emperor). RNAcentral's name for it is "partial 16S ribosomal RNA". The stretch from base 1081 to 1239 matches the Rfam family "Archaeal large subunit ribosomal RNA", at positions 2544 to 2703 of the family's 2987-position model. Lineage: Eukaryota; Metazoa; Arthropoda; Insecta; Lepidoptera; Nymphalidae. The record is from RNAcentral.
GGGGGGAAAAUUAAUAAUUUAUAGUUAAUAAAAAAAAUUUUAGUAUUAAAAAUAUAUAAUGGGGGUUAAAGUAUUUUUAAUAGAAAAAAUUUAUAGAUUUAUAGUUUAGUAGUAUUGUAAAAUAAAUUUUAAAUAAGUUAAAUAUUAAAUUAAAUUAAAGUAAAUUUUAUUUAUUGUAUCUUGUGUAUCAGAGUUUAUUAAGAAUGUAAUUUUAUAUAAAAUAAUCUCGAAUUUAAAAGAGUUAAUUAAUUAAUAAAGUUAAUGUUGAAUAAUUAUUUUAAAUAAUUAAUUAGAAAUGAAAUGUUAAUCGUUUUUAAAUAUAUCUAGUUUUUUUAGAAAAAAAUUUAAUUUUAAAUUUAAAUAAUUUUAUGAUUAUUUAAAUUAAUUAUAAAAAUUUAAAAUUUUAUAUAUUAAGGGAUAAGCUUUAAAUUAAAAAUUUAUAAUAAAUAUAAAAUUUAAUUAAAAUUUUUAAAAUUUAUAUUGUUUAGAAAUUAUAAUUUAUUAUAAAAAAUUUUAAUUAAAUUAAAAUUUAAAAAUAAAAUUUAAUUUUUUAUAAAAAAAUAAUUUUUAAUAAAAUAAAAAUUAAUAAUAAUGAUAAAAUUAGUAUAAUUAAUAAUAAAAAAGUAAAUUAAAUAAAAGUUAAGCUAAAGGAAUUCGGCAAAAAUUUAUAUUCACUUGUUUAUCAAAAACAUGUCUUUUUGAGUAAUAAUUUAAAGUCUAAUCUGCCCACUGAUAAUAAAUUAAAGGGCUGCAGUAUAUUGACUGUACAAAGGUAGCAUAAUCAAUAGUCUUUUAAUUGAAGACUUGUAUGAAAGAUUUAAUGAGAUAUAGACUGUCUCUAGUUUAUUAAUAAAAAUUAAUUUUUUAGUUAAAAAGCUAAAAUAAAAUUAAAAGACGAGAAGACCCUAUAGAGUUUUAUAUUUAAUUUAUUUAUAGUAAAAUAUAAAAUUAAUUAUUAAAAUUUAAAUUAAAUAUUUUAUUGGGGUGAUAAAAAAAUUAGAAAAACUUUUUUUAUAAAAAAACAUAAAUAAAUGAAUAAUUGAUCCAUUAAUAAUGAUUAAAAGAAAAAAUUACCUUAGGGAUAACAGCGUAAUAUUUUUUUUUAGUACAAAUAAAAAAAAAAGUUUGCGACCUCGAUGUUGGAUUAAGAUAAAAUUUAAAUGCAAAAGUUUAAAAUUUUGAUCUGUUCGAUCAUUAAAAUCUUACAUGAUCUGAGUUCAAACCGGUGUGAGCCAGGUUGGUUUCUAUCUUUAAUAAAUUAUAAUAUUUUA